This 274-nucleotide ribosomal RNA is filed under the name uncultured bacterium. RNAcentral describes it as "partial 16S ribosomal RNA". It matches the Rfam family "Bacterial small subunit ribosomal RNA", at positions 523 to 796 of the family's 1533-position model. The record is from RNAcentral.
AUACGGAGGGCGCAAGCGUUGUUCGGAAUUACUGGGCGUAAAGCGCGUGUAGGCGGUUCGGUAAGUCGGAUGUGAAAUCCCGGGGCUCAACCCCGGAACUGCAUUCGAAACUGCCGGGCUAGAGUCCCGGAGAGGAAGGCAGAAUUCCCAGUGUAGGGGUGAAAUCCGUAGAUAUUGGGAGGAAUACCAGUGGCGAAGGCGGCCUUCUGGACGGUGACUGACGCUGAGACGCGAAAGCGUGGGGAGCAAACAGGAUUAGAAACCCCAGUAGUCC